AGCGGAUAUAGCAAUAUAUUAGCGGCGAACGGGUGAGUAAUACAUGGGUAACCUACCUCUAAGUUGGGGAUAACAUGCCGAAAGGCAUGCUAAUACCGAAUGUGUCCAACAAUUCACAAGGAUGGUUGGGUAAAGUAGCAAUACGCUUAGAGAUGGGCCCAUGGCUGAUUAGCUUGUUGGUAGGGUAAUGGCCUACCAAGGCGACGAUCAGUAGCCGGCCUGAGAGGGUGAACGGCCACAAUGGAACUGCGACACGGUCCAUACUCC
This 267-nucleotide ribosomal RNA is filed under the name uncultured bacterium. RNAcentral's name for it is "partial 16S ribosomal RNA". It matches the Rfam family "Bacterial small subunit ribosomal RNA", at positions 65 to 339 of the family's 1533-position model. The record is from RNAcentral.